GCAAACUUGGUCAUUUAGAGGAAGUAAAAGUCGUAACAAGGUUUCCAUAGGUGAACCUGCGGAAGGAUUAUUACAAAUUAUGGCGAACCUCGCGUUUCAUGAGGUUUUUGCGUCCAUUUUUCAUAUUUAAAACAUCCCACUCUUAAAAAAAUAUUUAUUUUUGAUAAAAUAAAAAAGAACACUUUCAAUAACGGAUCUCUUGGCUCUUCAGAUGUGUAUAAGAGACAGGCAAACUUGGUCAUUUAGAGGAAGUAAAAGUCGUAACAAGGUUUCCAUAGGUGAACCUGCGGAAGGAUUAUUACAAAUUAUGGCGAACCUCGCGUUUCAUGAGGUUUUUGCGUCCAUUUUUCAUAUUUAAAACAUCCCACUCUUAAAAAAAUAUUUAUUUUUGAUAAAAUAAAAAAGAACACUUUCAAUAACGGAUCUCUUGGCUCUUGCAUCGAUGAAGAACGCAGC
Molecule: unclassified non-coding RNA, 456 nt
Filed under: uncultured fungus
Lineage: Eukaryota; Fungi
Description: partial contains small subunit ribosomal RNA, internal transcribed spacer 1, and 5.8S ribosomal RNA
Rfam family: Eukaryotic small subunit ribosomal RNA (bases 1-73)
Source: RNAcentral